UCUAGUUGCCAGCACGUAAAGGUGGGAACUCUGAAGAUACUGCCCCGGUUAACGGGGAGGAAGGUGGGGAUGACGUCAAGUCCUCAUGGCCCUUAUGCCCAGGGCUACACACGUGCUACAAUGGCAUAUACAAAGGGUCGCGAUACCGCGAGGUGGAGCCAAUCCCAUAAAGUAUGCCACAGUUCGGAUUGGAGUCUGCAACUCGACUCCAUGAAGUUGGAAUCGCUAGUAAUCGCAGAUCAGCAUGCUGCGGUGAAUACGUUCCCGGGCCUU
Molecule: ribosomal RNA, 273 nt
Filed under: uncultured Desulfobotulus sp.
Lineage: Bacteria; Pseudomonadati; Thermodesulfobacteriota; Desulfobacteria; Desulfobacterales; Desulfobacteraceae
Description: partial 16S ribosomal RNA
Rfam family: Bacterial small subunit ribosomal RNA
Source: RNAcentral